AGAGAAGGUAGGCAGUGCUUGCAAAGGCCUGAGCACUGCAAGAAUGGACUAAUACGCUAUGUGAAGACAAAGGGGAUGUCUGCAAGCCAGGACGAGUGCGUCUACCAGAAACUGAGUUCUGCUGGACUUUGAUCUAGGACAUCCAGCCUCCAGAAUGGAAUGUGCCAUAUGUGGAGACCUGCAUGGAAAGGAACUGAGGAUGCUCUCUCACUAAAAGCUAGAAGGAACUGAGGCCCUCAGUCAACAGUCUACAAGACACUGAAUCUUGCCAGCAGCCAAGCAGUGAGCUUGAAAGCAGAUCUAUCAUCAGCUGAACCUUCAGAUGAGACCGCAGCCUAAGCAGAUACCUUGGUUGCAGCCAUGUGAGACAACCUGAAACAGAGGGCACAGCUAAGCCUCAGCCAGGUUCAUGACCCUCUGAGGAAACUGUGAGAAAGCAAAUGUCAUUUUAAGCUAUUUAAUUUUGGAGGUAGUUUAUUACACAACAAUAAAUAACUAUUAUAAUUAUCUUGAGGAUUUAUUUCCUGGGGAGAAUACAUGGAAUUGCAUAUAUAGGUCCUCAUAUGCAGAAUACUGGUACCCUAGAGAUGUUCACCCCAGAGAUGUUUUAGGAACCUGUGAAUAUGUUACAUUAAAUGGCAAAGUUUUCCUGGAUGGUUUAAGUUUAAGAUGGAAAAGUUUUACUGGAUUAUCCAGUGGGUCCAAUCUAGUAACAUGAGUCCUUAAAAAUGGAGAAUAUUUUUUGGCCAUGAUCAGAGAGACAUGUGAUGAUGGAAAAAGUGUCAGAGAUGCAAUGUGAGGGGACUAAAACUGCUGUUGCUGACUUUAAAGAUGGAGAGAGGGGAACCCGAGUCAAGGAAUGCAAAUGGCCUCUGGAAGCUGGAAAAAGCAAGAAAUGGAUUCUCCUUUAGAGCCUGUGGAAUAAAAUGCAGUCAUGCUGACACCUUGAUUUUACCUCAGUGAGACCAAUACUGGAGUAUGACCUUCGGAGCUCGCAAAGGCCACAUAAGGACAGUGAGAAGGCAGCCACCUGCAAGCCAGGAAGAAAGGUCUCACCAGAUACCAACCCUGCCAGCAUGUUGAUCUUGGACUUCCAGCCUCCAAAACUGGCCUUCUGCUCACAUGGGCUUCCGUGCACCUGCUUCAGGAGACAGCAACACUUGCGCCCGCACCGCGGCAGGCUCCCAUCACCUGGUGGAUAUGCCGCGCCGAGUCUCAUCACACCUUAGUGAAGGAACACAUGGACCCAUAUGUUAGCGGAUGUAUUUACAUCGUUUUAUACAGAAAGGGGAAGUAUGUUUCACAAUAAAUGUUUGCAUACUUUG
Molecule: long non-coding RNA, 1325 nt
Filed under: Homo sapiens (human)
Lineage: Eukaryota; Metazoa; Chordata; Mammalia; Primates; Hominidae
Description: HSALNT0292659
Source: RNAcentral